CCAGACGGCCGGAUGGCCGCCUUCCGCGACGGGGAAACCCUGCGGGGGGAGGAAAGUCCGGGCUCCACGGAAGCACGGUGCCGGGUAACGCCCGGCGGGGGCAACCCCAGGGAAAGUGCCACAGAAAGCAAACCGCCGGCCCCGCUUCGGCGCGGCCGGCAAGGGUGAAAGGGUGCGGUAAGAGCGCACCGCGUCCCCGGCGACGGGGACGGCACGGUAAACCCCACCGGGAGCAAGACCGAAUAGGGGCGGCCGGCCGGGGCCUUCGGGCCGCCGGCAGGCGGGUUUCCGCGCCGCCGCCCGGGUAGGUCGCGCGAGGCGUCCGGCAACGGACGUCCCAGACGAAUGGCCAUCUAUUGUCCGCAAGGACAUGGACAGAACCCGGCUUACAGGCCGUCUGAGCGC
RNAcentral lists this RNase P RNA (405 nucleotides) under Alphaproteobacteria bacterium. RNAcentral describes it as "RNase P RNA component class A". It matches the Rfam family "Bacterial RNase P class A". From Rfam's summary of the family: Ribonuclease P (RNase P) is a ubiquitous endoribonuclease, found in archaea, bacteria and eukarya as well as chloroplasts and mitochondria. Its best characterised activity is the generation of mature 5'-ends of tRNAs by cleaving the 5'-leader elements of precursor-tRNAs. Lineage: Bacteria; Pseudomonadati; Pseudomonadota; Alphaproteobacteria. The record is from RNAcentral.